AGAAAAGUAAGCUAAUAAAGCUGAUGGGUUCAUACCCCAUAAAUAGAGAAUACCUCUCUUUUCUA
Molecule: transfer RNA, 65 nt
Filed under: Pseudoglomeris angustifolia
Lineage: Eukaryota; Metazoa; Arthropoda; Insecta; Blattodea; Blaberidae
Description: tRNA-Met
Source: RNAcentral